This 291-nucleotide ribosomal RNA is filed under the name uncultured Pseudomonas sp. RNAcentral's name for it is "partial 16S ribosomal RNA". It matches the Rfam family "Bacterial small subunit ribosomal RNA", at positions 1095 to 1382 of the family's 1533-position model. Lineage: Bacteria; Pseudomonadati; Pseudomonadota; Gammaproteobacteria; Pseudomonadales; Pseudomonadaceae. The record is from RNAcentral.
AGCGUCAACCCUUGUCCUUAGUUACCAGCACGGUUAUGGUGGGCACUCUAAGGAGACUGCCGGUGGACAAACCGGAGGAAGGUGGGGAUGACGUCAAGUCAUCAUGGCCCUUACGGCCUGGGCUACACACGUGCUACAAUGGUCGGUACAAAGGGUUGCCAAGCCGCGAGGUGGAGCUAAUCCCAUAAAACCGAUCGUAGUCCGGAUCGCAGUCUGCAACUCGACUGCGUGAAGUCGGAAUCGCUAGUAAUCGUGAAUCAGAAUGUCACGGUGAAUACGUUCCCGGGCCUU